This 538-nucleotide ribosomal RNA is filed under the name Trichoderma sp. NOF9. Its description in RNAcentral is "eukaryotic LSU rRNA". The stretch from base 157 to 310 matches the Rfam family "5.8S ribosomal RNA". Lineage: Eukaryota; Fungi; Ascomycota; Sordariomycetes; Hypocreales; Hypocreaceae. The record is from RNAcentral.
UGAACGUUACCAAACUGUUGCCUCGGCGGGGUCACGCCCCGGGUGCGUCGCAGCCCCGGAACCAGGCGCCCGCCGGAGGAACCAACCAAACUCUUUCUGUAGUCCCCUCGCGGACGUAUUUCUUACAGCUCUGAGCAAAAAUUCAAAAUGAAUCAAAACUUUCAACAACGGAUCUCUUGGUUCUGGCAUCGAUGAAGAACGCAGCGAAAUGCGAUAAGUAAUGUGAAUUGCAGAAUUCAGUGAAUCAUCGAAUCUUUGAACGCACAUUGCGCCCGCCAGUAUUCUGGCGGGCAUGCCUGUCCGAGCGUCAUUUCAACCCUCGAACCCCUCCGGGGGAUCGGCGUUGGGGAUCGGGACCCCUCACACGGGUGCCGGCCCCGAAAUACAGUGGCGGUCUCGCCGCAGCCUCUCCUGCGCAGUAGUUUGCACAACUCGCACCGGGAGCGCGGCGCGUCCACGUCCGUAAAACACCCAACUUUCUGAAAUGUUGACCUCGGAUCAGGUAGGAAUACCCGCUGAACUUAAGCAUAUCAAUAGC